UACGUAGGUGGCAAGCGUUGUCCGGAUUUAUUGGGUUUAAAGGGUGCGUAGGCGGUUGGGUAAGUCUGUCGUGAAAUCUCCGAGCCCAACUCGGAAACUGCGUCGGAUACUAUUCAACUCGAGGAAUGGAGGGGAGACUGGAAUUCUCGGUGUAGCAGUGAAAUGCGUAGAUAUCGAGAGGAACACCAGUGGCGAAGGCGAGUCUCUGGACAUUUCCUGACGCUGAGGCACGAAAGCCAGGGGAGCAAACGGG
Molecule: ribosomal RNA, 253 nt
Filed under: uncultured bacterium
Lineage: Bacteria
Description: partial 16S ribosomal RNA
Rfam family: Bacterial small subunit ribosomal RNA
Source: RNAcentral